This 500-nucleotide ribosomal RNA is filed under the name uncultured bacterium. Its description in RNAcentral is "partial 16S ribosomal RNA". It matches the Rfam family "Bacterial small subunit ribosomal RNA", at positions 30 to 523 of the family's 1533-position model. The record is from RNAcentral.
AUUGAACGCUGGCGGCAUGCCUUACACAUGCAAGUCGAACGGCAGCACGGGGGCAAUCCUGGUGGCGAGUGGCGAACGGGUGAGUAAAGUAUCGGAACGUGCCCAGUCGUGGGGGAUAACGUAGCGAAAGUUACGCUAAUACCGCAUACGAUCUAUGGAUGAACGCGGGGGAUCGCACGACCUCGCGCGAUUGGAGCGGCCGAUAUCAGAUUAGGUAGUAGGUGGGGUAAAGGCUCACCAAGCCGACGAUCUGUAGCUGGUCUGAGAGGACGACCAGCCACACUGGGACUGAGACACGGCCCAGACUCCUACGGGAGGCAGCAGUGGGGAAUUUUGGACAAUGGGCGAAAGCCUGAUCCAGCCAUGCCGCGUGCAGGAUGAAGGCCUUCGGGUUGUAAACUGCUUUUGUACGGAACGAAAAGGUUUGGGCUAAUAAGCUGAGCUCAUGACGGUACCGUAAGAAUAAGCACCGGCUAACUACGUGCCAGCCGCCGCAGUAA